UAAUUGAGCAGUCAGUGUACAGCGGUCAGUCGACCCAGCCAGACGUUAAUCGAUUGCUUUGACCGUUGAAUAAUACAUGCGUUACACCGAAAACAUCUGCAAGUGGAAGCUCGCUGCCGAUUACUGAUACCUACGAUACGCCAAAAUGAGGAUCAACGUCCUGACAACUUUUCUUUUCACUGGGAUUUUGUGCCUGACCCUCGGACAAAGAAAUGAUUCAACGGCGAGUAUCGUAUAUAGAAAUGCACUACAGGUCGUGAGAGAUGUGGUUAUGAUGGUGACUAAUGAAAGCAUGAUCAAAGACCUGGGACUGAUCAAAAACUUCACGAAGGAAGCGUGCUCAACGAAUGGUCAAACCUGGAAGGAAGAAGAAGCAACGAGCAGCCUAGAAAACGCCACAAAAUGUAUCAACGAUGUAUUGAAGUCGAAUAUGAAAACCGCCCGCGAAAC
This is a long non-coding RNA of Neodiprion fabricii, 450 nucleotides long. RefSeq lists it as uncharacterized. The record is from RefSeq and is a predicted model, not a curated record. The transcript has 3 exons. NCBI's taxonomy places the organism in Eukaryota, Metazoa, Arthropoda, Insecta, Hymenoptera, Diprionidae.